RNAcentral lists this ribosomal RNA (301 nucleotides) under uncultured bacterium. RNAcentral's name for it is "partial 16S ribosomal RNA". It matches the Rfam family "Bacterial small subunit ribosomal RNA", at positions 509 to 807 of the family's 1533-position model. The record is from RNAcentral.
CAGCAGCCGCGGUAAUACAGAGGGUGCGAGCGUUAAUCGGAUUUACUGGGCGUAAAGCGUGCGUAGGCGGCUUCUUAAGUCGGAUGUGAAAUCCCUGAGCUUAACUUAGGAAUUGCAUUCGAUACUGGGAAGCUAGAGUAUGGGAGAGGAUGGUAGAAUUCCAGGUGUAGCGGUGAAAUGCGUAGAGAUCUGGAGGAAUACCGAUGGCGAAGGCAGCCAUCUGGCCUAAUACUGACGCUAAGGUACGAAAGCAUGGGGAGCAAACAGGAUUAGAUACCCCUGUAGUCCCUGUCUCUUAUAC